This is a long non-coding RNA of Epinephelus moara (kelp grouper), 714 nucleotides long. RefSeq lists it as uncharacterized. The transcript is spliced from 2 exons. NCBI's taxonomy places the organism in Eukaryota, Metazoa, Chordata, Actinopteri, Perciformes, Serranidae. The record is from RefSeq and is a predicted model, not a curated record.
CCAGCCGCCGGGCAAUUUCAUGGCAUCCUGAGCAGAACUGAACAUGCUAGAACCCAACAGAAAGAACUUCAUGCCACAAAGUCUGCCUAACUCCUGUGUCCUGGACCAACAAGGUCAGGACUGAAGAAAGGCAGACUCCUGCAUGCCCACACUGGGUGUGUGAAGAUGACUGACAUGGAGAGCCAAGCUCACCCGAGCCAAAGUUGCCAUGUGGGCUCAGGAACGCCCAAAAGCGCCCAAAGGCUCCAGGAGUUCGACUGAGGAGAAGAGAAGGACAGCACCAAGAGCAGUUCACACCAAGGAGCAGCGCUGCCUUUUCCUCUUCCCCCUCCAGAGCAUCUUCUUUCUGGUCUGCAACAACUCAGGUGAAACAACAUAAUUUUCCUGUGCUGGGGCCUGAUGCGUAGUUUAAGUAUGGUAGGGAGCAUUAGAUAAAACUAGGAUUUCCCCUAAGUUUUCAGAUGUUUCCUUUUUUGCUUCCGAGGCCGCUCAGCUGUUGAAUGGUCCAUGUCAAAGUUUCCUCUGCUAAUCAUCUUACCAUUUGCUCACUGCUUCAUCUGGUUCACUCUGGUCAUUCGGUCAUUCAUUCAUUAGCAUCGCUGUAUUCAUUUCAUUCCAUUCAUAGUUGCAUUUACUCAUUGUCUUGUCUGUUGUUAGUUGUAUUGUGUCUUGGUCUUCUGUGUCAGUAGUUUAGAAUAAAUGUUUGUCUAUAAA